This is a long non-coding RNA of Orcinus orca (killer whale), 3646 nucleotides long. RefSeq lists it as uncharacterized. The transcript is spliced from 3 exons. The record is from RefSeq and is a predicted model, not a curated record. Lineage: Eukaryota; Metazoa; Chordata; Mammalia; Artiodactyla; Delphinidae.
UGAUCCAAAAAUUCCACUUCUAGGUAUUUACCUUAAGAAAGCAAAAACACUAACUCAAAAAGAUAUAUACACCCCCAUGUUCACUGAAGGAUUAUUUACAAUAGCCAAGACAUGUACACAAUCUAAGUUUCCAUCAACAGAUGAAUGGAUAAAGAAGAUAUGGUACAUGUAUGCAAUGGAAUAUUACUCAGCCAUAAAAAGGGAAUUCCAACAUGGAUGGGCCUUGAGGGCAUUAUGCUAAGUUAAAUAGUCAGAUAGACAAAGACAAACACUGUAUGGUCUCACUUAUAUGUGGAAUCUAAAGAAACAAAACAAAACAAAAAUAAAAAACCCAGCUUACAGAGAGCAGAUUGGUGGUUGCCAGAGUCAGGGGUAGAGGUGUGGGCAAAAUGGGUGAAGGUGGUCAAAAGGUACAAACUGCUAGUUACGAAAUAAAUAAGUCAUGGGGGUGUAAUGUACAACAUGGUGACUAUAGUUAAAAAUACUGCAUUGCAUAUUUACAAGUCGCUAAGAGAGUAAGUCUUAAAAGUUCUCAUCAUACACACAAAUUCGUAACUAAGUAUGGUGACAGAUGUUAAGUGAACUUGUGGUGACCAUUUCACAAUAUAUACAUAUAUCAAAUCAUUAUGUUGUGCACCUGGAACUAAUACAUUAUAUGUCAAUUAUACCUCAAUAAUAAUAAAGAAUAAGAAAAAUUCACUUGUUAACUCACCUCUGGGAACUCAACCUUGGAACUGGAAGCAGGAGGAAAAACAACAUCCUUUCUGGAACUCUGUGUUCCCAGCUUCAGAGAUGCUCCUGUGAUCAAGCCACAGAUGAGACGGUACCUGAGAACCAGACUUAACGCUUACUGGAGGAACAUGUAUGUAUAUAUCUGCUUACCUCAGUCACUCAGAGACACAGGAGUUCUGAGGCUGCAUCACCACAUGUGUUUCCACAUCACCCUGCAGUUGGAAAGUGAGGUGGUGACCCCCCAAACCACUCUUCAAGUUUCUUCUUGGAAGGGACACACAUCACUUAAUGCUCAAAAUUCACUGGAGACACCAACUCACAUGGCCAUAUCUGAUUUCAAGAAGAUGGGAAAGUGCAAUCCUACCAUGUGCCCAGAAAAGGGAGAAACCAGGAAAAGUUGGGGAGCAACCCCAUAGACUACCCCACCAACCAGACAUGGAACGAAGGUUAGAAACCCUCUUGGAUGGAAUUGCUACAGUAAUCUCUAGGCAGCCCAGGAUUGGUAACUAAUACAAGCAGCUGAGCAGUUGAGGAAGAACUUGACUUUCCCAAAGCAUGGUAAAGUUCAAAACUAUUUUCAUGUUCCUUCUCUCUUUUGCGAGAUAAACCAGGCAUGAGUUAUUAUCCCCAUUUUAAAGAAAAGAGAGGCUCCGAGAAAUGACAUGUUUUUCCAGAUACCACACUGCUUCAGGUGACAAAGGCAGAACCACCACCAGAGCUCCAAUUCAGAAUCAUCUCCCAUCCCUCUGUGCCAGCCACCACCCUGGGUACAUCUUCGGGCACCAGCGACUCCUGAGCCCCAAUCUGUGUGCUAAAGUAAGGCGUGAUGUGGGAGAUUGGAGUGAGUGGCUAGAAAGCAAUAAGACCGCAAUUAGUUUGGUGUUUUAAGUAAAAAGAUGCCUUGUUCAUCAAAAACAAAGAAUUCAAUAUUACUCUUAAUAUAGACUUUUUGACUAUAUAAGCAAUAUAUGGUCAUUGUAAAUAUUUGGAAAAUAUUAAACAUAUCCAGAAAAAAAUUAAAAUUAUCCACCCAGAUUUAAAUACUGUUUUUGAAAAGCUCCUUGUUCAAAUGAAAAUUCUGGGCCUGUAAAAACAUAUGAAAGAAACCCAAGUGUACUCACCAUGUAGCUUUAGAACAAGUCAUCAUUGUAAUUGCAGUUGAAGCCUCCUCCUCUGUAGCUUUCUGAUCCUCUCCCUUUCCCUCCAGAGGUAACUAGUAUCCAGGAUUUGGUGGGGUUUUUUUUUUCUUUUUUUGCCGUACGCGGGCCUCUCCCAUUGCAGAGCACAGGCUCCAGACGCGCAGGCUCAGCGGCCAUGGCUCACGGGCCCAGGCGCUCCGCGGCAUGUGGGAUCUUCCCAGACCGGGGCACGAACCCGCGUCCCCUGCAUCGGCAGGCGGACUCUCAACCACUGCGCCACCAGGGAAGCCCCAGGAUUUGGUGUUUAUAAAAUUUUCUGUAUGUCCUAAUGUCAACUACAUGUGAAUAUACUCAUAAAAAUUUGCUCAUGUUUUCAAAUUUUAUUUAAAUGGCAUCAUACUAUACUAACUUUUGGCGACUUGUAUAUUUUUUUCUCUGAAUAUUAUGUUUUUAAGAGUUAUCCAGGUUGACACAAGCAGCCCUAGUUCAUUCAUUUAACUGCCUUGAACCGCACUUCUCAAACUUUUAUAGGCAUAAGAAUCACCAGGGGAGCUUGUUAAAAUACAGAUUCUGUUUGGGUAGGUCUGGAAUUCUCAGGUGGAGUGAAUGAGGCUGGUGAGGAAUCACAUUUUGGGGAAAAGGGCUGUAUAGUAUUCCUUUGAAUGCACAUGGCACAAUUUAUUCAUCUAGUCCCCUACUGAUGGACUUUUAGCUUGUCUGUAAAUUUUUGUUUUGCCAUUACAAACAAUGUUAUGGUGAGCUUUUCUUUUUUUUUGCAUCUCUCUUGGCACACCUGUGCAAGAGAUCUCUACCUUACAGACGGAGGAAAGGAGUUGCUGGGUUACACAGCCUGCAGCUGUUCAAUUUAAGUCCUGCUGAGUUGCUCUCCAAAGUUGUAGCUCCAAUUGAUCACUGCCAGCAGUUCAGAAGAAUUCCUUUUGUUCCACAUCCUUGCUGCACAUGGUAUUGUCAGUGUCAGUCACAUCCUGCCCCUGAAGCGAUGGGAAGAGAAAGGCCUAGCUGCUUGAAUGGAGGGAAGGCGGAGGGAAGGGGAGAUGGUGGCCGUGUGAAAUGGUGCAGCCGAUGUAGAAAACCAUUUGGCAGUUUCUCAAAAGGUUAAACAUAGCGUUACCAUGUGACUCAGCAAUUCUCCUGUGUGUACACCCAAGAGAAAUAAAAAUAUAGGUCCAUAUAAAAACAGAUGUUCAGGGCUUCCCUGGUGGCGCAGUGGUCGAGAGUCCGCCUGCCGAUGCAGGGGACACGGGCUCGUGCCCCGGUCCGGGAAGAUCCCACAUGCCGCGGAGCAGAUGGGCCCGUGAGCCAUGGCCGCUAAGCCUGCGCGUCCGGAGCCUGUGCUCCGCAACAGGAGAGGCCACAACAGUGAGAGGCCCGCGUAUUGCAAAAUAAAUAAAUAAAUAAAUAAAGAUGAAUGGUGUGCUGGUACCUGCUACAACAUGAAUGAAUCUUGGAAACAUACAAAGUGAAAAACGCUUGACACAUAAGACCAGGUAUUGUCUGAUUCCAUUUACAUGAAUGUCCAGAACAGGCAAAUCUAUAGACAUAAGGUAUAUCAGUGGUUGCCUAGGUCUGAGGGGAAAGGGACUGGGGAGGAAUGAGGAGUGGCUGCUAAUGGGUCUGGGGUUUCCUUUUAAGGUGAUGAAUGUUCUAGAAUUGAUUAUGGUGUUGGUUACACAACCCUCUGAAUAUACUAAAAGUCAUUGAAUUGUACACUUUAAAAGUGUGGAUUGUAUGGUAUGUGAUUUAUAUCCCAAUAA